AAAAAAAAUCUUUUUAACGUUGGAUGAAGCAAGAAGAAUAAUAUUUAUAGAAAAACUGGUUACUAUAUUUAUGGAAAAAAUCUUUAAAA
Molecule: small RNA, 89 nt
Filed under: Arabidopsis thaliana (thale cress)
Lineage: Eukaryota; Viridiplantae; Streptophyta; Magnoliopsida; Brassicales; Brassicaceae
Description: ATSL263230
Source: RNAcentral